ACCUAAUACUGGUGCUGCGCAGCUGACCAAAGAUAAAUUCAAGACUCUGAUAAAUAUAAAGAUGUGCACACAUGACGAGGUGAGGUAUGAAAUGAUAAUCCAGUAAGCAAAGCUGUAGUUUCUAGUGUAGUUCUCUUCUCUCUGAGAUCGCAGUUCCACUUUCACUUUCUCCUAUCCCUAUUCUACUUUCACAAGGCUUUCUCUAUCACCAUUGUCAUGCUCUUCAAAUAGUUCCUUUACUUUCGCAAAGACAUCUCUGCAAAUUCUUUGAGUUUUGAAAUCUCUCACGACCUGAAGAAACCUUUCAUAUAUGUCUCUUUGGUCAGAAAACUGAAGGGUAAGAGUCUGUCAGUUUAGGACCUAAAGGAGGGUAAUGAAAUUGAGGUUCUUUUCUUUCUUAAGGUCAAUGAUCAGCUUACUAUGUUAUCUGUUUUGUCAUGUACCAGUUUCAUCUCAGCAGAGAAAUUUAAGCUUCAGAUGUGUUCACUUGAGGUUGUCAUUAGCUGGGAUGAGCGAGAGCAAGCUAGGAGAAAGAAGUUGUGCAUUUUUUGUAUUUUGAACAAUGACAAAGAUUUAUGAAUCAUUGAAUAACAAUAUUGUGAAAGAGUAUACAAGCUUCUCAUUUGUAUUUUUGCACAGAAUGUGAUUUGUAUGGGUUUUGCAAUUUUUUUUU
Long non-coding RNA from Rosa chinensis, 673 nucleotides. RefSeq lists it as uncharacterized. The record is from RefSeq and is a predicted model, not a curated record. Lineage: Eukaryota; Viridiplantae; Streptophyta; Magnoliopsida; Rosales; Rosaceae. The transcript has 2 exons.